CUCAAUAGUUACAGCUAGAUUCUGUUUGCCUUAGGCAAACACAUGUGCCCCUGAAGGCACAGAUCAGCUAAACAUUUACAGCAGUAUCAACCUAUACUCAGGCAGGACACUAGUGACCCAGGAUACCUAUAAGAGAUAGCAAUUUCAACCUCUAUAGACUCCCAACAGGAGCCAUAGAAAUCGCAGUUCAUACUGUUGGCUUAUUGGUUUGCCGACUCCUUACCACUCUCGCUCACCUGCCUCACCAGAAUACGUUGGUGCUUUAUUGAUCUAUCAAUACUUAGCCCUUGUGAGGACUCUCCUGUACAUAUUUCUAGUAGCCAUAUUCCAAGCUUGAGCACGGUUUAGCCGAGGGUUUCCCUUGACAUCCAUAGCAACCAAGACAAUUUGAUACAAUAUAUUUCUUUAGUGACUCUUCUGAUUUAUACCAUUGCUACUCAGCUCCAGUGCUAUCAUCUGUACAUAUGUAUAUUUCACUUUUCUUUUUGUUUAACCCUGUAUAUACUGUGUGAUUAAUCACUCAUCAAUUUAG
Pelobates cultripes (western spadefoot toad) is the source of this 532-nucleotide non-coding RNA. The record is from the annotation of a GenBank genome assembly. NCBI's taxonomy places the organism in Eukaryota, Metazoa, Chordata, Amphibia, Anura, Pelobatidae.